GUAUAUAUUCCACACAUUCUUUAAAUUGGAACGAUACAGAGAAGAUUAGCAUGGCCCCUGCGCAAGGAUGACACAUAAAUUCAUGGGUACAUUUUAGAAAUAU
This is a small nuclear RNA of Arvicola amphibius (Eurasian water vole), 103 nucleotides long. Lineage: Eukaryota; Metazoa; Chordata; Mammalia; Rodentia; Cricetidae. The record is from RefSeq and is a predicted model, not a curated record.